UUUUUUCCAAUAGCUAAAUUAAAGUCAUGAGCAAAGAAGCACUAUAAAUAGACAGUUGCUUCAAAGCAGAGAAAUUCAUCAAAUUCAUUAUCAGUUCUUGUAUUUGUAGCCAUGGGAUUCUUCAAAAUCCUUCUUGUUUUCAUCUUUUGUUCUUUCCCAUGGCCUACUAUUCAAAGUGAUCUCGAGACUUAUAUAGUCCAUGUUGAAUCCCCUGAAAGCCUAAUUACUACUCAAUCAACGUUAACAGAUUUAGACAGCUAUUACCUUUCUUUUUUGCCUAAAACUACUACCGCAAUUAGCUCGAGUGGAAAUGAAGAGGCUGCUACCAUGAUCUAUUCCUAUCACAAUGUGAUGAAAGGCUUUGCAGCAAGAUUAACUGCAGAACAAGUGAAGGAAAUGGAGAAAAAACACGGCUUUGUCUCUGCUCAGAAACAGAGGAUUUUCACCUUGCAUACUACUCAUACUCCAAGCUUUCUUGGUUUGCAACAGAAAACCAUCCUUCUUUUAGUGACGUUGGGAUGCCUCCCCCGCCUGCUAAGUGGAAAGGAGUUUGUGAGUCCAAUUUCAUCAACAAGUGUAACAACAAGCUCAUUGGAGCGAGGUCUUACCAACUUGGUAAUGGUUCCCCGAUAGAUGGUAAUGGACAUGGUACACACACAGCAAGCACAGCUGCGGGAGCCUUUGUGAAAGGUGCUAAUGUAUAUGGCAAUGCUAAUGGAACUGCAGUUGGUGUUGCUCCUCUUGCCCAUAUAGCCAUAUAUAAGGCAUGUAAUUCCAAUGGCAAGUGUCCUGACAGUGAUAUUUUAGCUGCCAUGGAUUCAGCUAUAGAUGAUGGAGUAGAUAUUCUUUCAAUGUCCAUUGGUGGAUCUCCGAGGCCUUUUUAUGAUGUCCCUAUUGCUCUCGGGGCGUACAGUGCAACAGAAAGAGGCAUUUUUGUAAGUUGUGCGGCAGGCAAUUAUGGUCCUUCUAUUGCCUCAGUAAUAAAUGCAGCCCCGUGGAUUCUUACUGUAGGUGCCAGCACACUUGAUAGAAAGAUAAAAGCUACUGUUAAGCUUGGAAAUGGACAGGAAUUUGAAGGAGAAUCUGCUUAUCGUCCACAGAUUCCCAACUCAACAUUCUUCACUCUAUAUGGUGCUGGAAUAAAUGCAAAAGAUCAAUCGGAAACCCCUUAUUGCAAACCAGGGUCACUCAAUGACCCUGCUAUAAGAGGAAAGAUAGUAUUAUGUCUAGCAGGCGGUGGCGUCUCCAGUGUUGAUAAAGGACAAGUUGUGAAGGGUGCUGGAGGUGUUGGCAUGAUUGUCAUCAAACCGUCACAUUAUGGUGUCACUAAAUCAGCUGAUGCUCAUGUUCUUCCAGCAUUGGAUGUUUCAGCUGCAGAUGGAUUAAGAAUUCGUGCUUAUACAAACUCAACAUUAAACCCUGUUGCUACAAUCACAUUCCAAGGAACAAUAAUUGGAGAUAAAAAUGCUCCAAUAAUUGCUGCAUUUUCUUCUCGGGGACCAAGUAUAGCUAGUCCUGGAAUCUUGAAACCUGACAUAAUCGGUCCGGGUGUUAAUAUCCUUGCUGCUUGGCCUACCUCCGUGGAUGACAACAAGAACACCAAAUCCACAUUCAAUAUUAUAUCAGGCACCUCAAUCCCUUGUCCUCACCUUAGUGGUGUAGCAGCUCUGCUGAAGAGCGCACAUCCUGAUUGGUCUCCUGCUGCUAUUAAAUCUGCAAUCAUGACAACCGCUUACACGUUAAACCUUGCCAAUAGUCCAAUACUAGACGAAAGGCUCCUUCCUGCUGACAUUUUUGCAAUUGGUGCAGGACAUGUUAAUCCAUCGAGGGCAAAUGAUCCAGGACUAGUUUAUGAUACCCCAUUUGAGGACUAUGUACCUUAUUUCUGUGGUUUAAACUACAGCAAUCAAGAGGUAGGUAAAUUAUUACAACGUCAGGUGAAUUGUUUGAAGGUGAAAAGUAUCCCUGAAGCACAAUUAAACUAUCCUUCAUUUUCCAUAUUCAGACUUGGAUCAACUCCUCAAACAUAUACCAGAACGGUGACCAACGUUGGUGAUGCGACAUCAUCUUACAAAGUGGAGGUAGCUUCACCAAAAGGAGUUGUCGUGGAAGUUAAACCCACAGAGCUAAAUUUCUCCGAGUUGAACCAGAAGUUAACAUACCAAGUGACAUUUUCCAAGACAACCAACAACUCAAACUUUGUGAUUGUUGGGGGUUUCUUGAAGUGGACUUCUAAUAGGCACUCAGUGAGAAGUCCAAUUGCAAUUGUGUUAGACAAGUGAUAAAUUGGCUAUAUAAGUGCAUAAGUACUCAGACAUUUGAUUAUAGUGAAAAUGUUGUUUGUUUACACAAUAAACUUUAUGUUACUUUUU
Molecule: RNA transcript, 2372 nt
Organism: Solanum tuberosum (potato)
Lineage: Eukaryota; Viridiplantae; Streptophyta; Magnoliopsida; Solanales; Solanaceae
Gene name: subtilisin-like protease SBT1.7
Exons: 2
Source: RefSeq, a predicted model, not a curated record